AGCAGGUAUUUAAAAACAGCAACGGGCGAAGCAGACGCGUCUUCCUCUCGCUCCCGAGACGCCUUUCUCUCCUCUAAUGUCACUUUCGAAAAUCCGUUGUUUUCUUCACAGAAUGGACUUUUUAAGACGCUAAAAGAAAAUAGAUCAUGCAGGUUUGGAUCAACAUCAGGAGAAGUGAGUAUCCUGCGGAAUCAGAUGCAUCACUCUUGUGUAUGGUUUUCUAAAUUCAGGUCAGUGCCAAAACACAUCACAUUUACAGUCUUGCUGUCCAUAUUCAUGCAUUCACUCUUUCCUAGAGAUGAAUCUCCCAUCCAUGUGCUAAAUCCAAUAUCUGUCAAAUCUCACUUUCAUCCAUUACAUUUUGUAACAAUUGGCACAAUUGAGCAAAAAUGCAUAUGUUUCUCAAGUAAAAUUUAACGAAUUAAGGAAAGUUUUAAAGUAUUUUCUAUAAUAUUUAUUUUCUCCUGGAGAAAGUCUUAUUUGUUUUAUUUUGGCUUGAAUAAAAGCAGUUUUUAUUAUUAUUAAUAUAUAGGCCUACAUAUAUUAUACUGUUUUGAUGAUUUUUAUUUUGUUUAUUUUUAUUGUAUUUUGUCAGUUAUGAAGUAAAUAAAUUACAUUCUCCAAAUCCACUUUGUAACAACUAAGGAAUCAGUGAUAUGAUCUGGGAUGGGUUUCUGAAAACCCUCGUUAGCCAACUAAGGUCACAAGUUGUGUCGUUACAAACAAAGUUUGUUAAUUUCAUUUGUCACUUUCACAGUGCACUUUGAAAACAUUGAUGUCAUUUUGAAAACAGCCGUGGCUCAUGGUGAAAGCUAUAGGUAAACUAUUAUUUAAAAGCUGAAUUUAUGUUUAUGUUACAUUAUUUACGUCUCCAAAGCUUGUGAAAACAAACAAAAAAAAAAAAAAACAGCAUACGUUAAUACUUUUAAUUUAGAGUGGGUAAUUUAUUAACUAUUUGUACUGUAUAUGACGAGGGCCUGUUGGUUAGAACAUUUCUGCACUAGUUUACAUGUGUCAAAUUGUAAAAGUAGAUUUUUCCAAAAAA
Danio rerio (zebrafish) is the source of this 1045-nucleotide non-coding RNA. The record is from RefSeq and is a predicted model, not a curated record. Lineage: Eukaryota; Metazoa; Chordata; Actinopteri; Cypriniformes; Danionidae.